RNAcentral lists this small RNA (259 nucleotides) under Neogale vison (American mink). RNAcentral describes it as "Neovison vison (American mink) 7SK RNA (ENSNVIG00000012858.1)". The stretch from base 1 to 194 matches the Rfam family "7SK RNA". Rfam says of the family: 7SK was discovered as an abundant small nuclear RNA in the mid-70s but a possible function has only recently been suggested. Lineage: Eukaryota; Metazoa; Chordata; Mammalia; Carnivora; Mustelidae. The record is from RNAcentral.
GGAUGUGAGGGUGAUCUGCCUACAACAUCUCUCACCCCACUGAUUGUCAGAGUGGAUUCCAUUGCUCUGGUUGAUUAGGCAGGUGUCCCUGUCCUCCAAAACUGUUCCAUGUGCUUCCUUCUGGAAGCUGUGUGCUCUAAGAGGAUGACCAUCCCCACUAGAGGAGUACCAUUCUUGGGUCAAAGGUUUAAUUUAGAAUAGAUAAAUAGGUAGAUAGAUAGAUAGAUAGAUAGACAGGAAUUUUUCACUUCUUUUCAAU